CAAAAAUAAAGUGAACUCUAUAGAAGCAUGUGAACUUUUUACAAGUUUACAAGAGAAAAACUAAUUCUGUUAUGUACAGGUAUAAACUAAAUUUCUAAACAGGAAUUUUUAGGAACAGGAACUUCCAGACAUACGGCGUGACACAGAAGGUUUCUGUCCAAUGUCAGGACAAUCCUUAUGGAUUUAACGGUGUGAUUGUGUUUGAAGAUGAAACCUAUGGCAUGAGCCAAGGACGUGGAAAUGGCUUUAGUGCUGGAGUUAUUAUUGAAGACCAUUGGAAUCAUGCUUGGCCAUCUCGUCAAAUGCUGCUAGUGAGUGUUGCAGUUACUGUUAUAUCGGCCCCAAUGAACGACCCACCCAGCUAGGAGGUUGUCACAUGGACCCAUCCUUUUACUGAUGGUUACAUCUUGCAACCCAUUAUGGAUGGAGAGGGAAGGGGUCUCAGCUUUGGCAUAGAGAUCAACAACCCGAGGACGAGAAGAAUUGACAUCUGAAGGAAAAGAAAAAAGCUGGAAGCAGGAAGAGGAAAAGAUCCCGUCAUGCUAGACAUUAGAAGAGAUAAAGAAGAAUUGACCUAGGUCAAACGUUUAUAAAAUGGGUAUACGGUAGGGAUGUCACAAUACUCAAUAUAAUAUCGAACCGUUCGGUACGACAUCCACGGUUCAAUGCGUGCUUGUGAAUUGCAGUUUUUCGGUUUUGCAUUUAAAUAACGUCCUUGUUUUAUUUUUUCGGGGAAUUUGCUGUAUGUGUGCCCGCGAUUUCACGUGCUGAAAUGAGGAAACGCUUCCCCGCUUAUAUUUGA
Labeo rohita (rohu) is the source of this 802-nucleotide long non-coding RNA. RefSeq lists it as uncharacterized. Lineage: Eukaryota; Metazoa; Chordata; Actinopteri; Cypriniformes; Cyprinidae. The record is from RefSeq and is a predicted model, not a curated record. The transcript has 5 exons.